GAGACCAAAGUGUAGAAAAUCUCCGCGAUGUUGGAGAAUCCAAGGUUCAACGCUUCAAAAUAUUCUUAGAUCUGAACCAGAAGAAAUUAUGGCAUAUGCUAAUUUUCAACCUCGAAGAGUUCAUCGCUCUAGCUAUUUUACAGGUCUGUAAAUUUUAGCUUCAAUCUCUGAUUUUCUGAUGUUUUUUUUCGAUUUUGUUUGAACUUCAUGGUUAUUUUGCUGCAAUUGUGUUGCGUUUUUUUCUUGUUUGUUAUGGAUUUCACGGAAUUUAGGGUUUUUUUUUUUUAAUUGUACGGUUAUGUGUUGUGAGAUUAGGGUUUUGAGGGAUCGACCUUCAAGAGGAUUGAAAUUAGCAGAAUGGUUUAAAUGUUUUUAAAGGUAAUUGAGGAACUAGUCAGAAUACGAGUGAAUUAGGUUAGUUUGUCUAUUUCUUCAGCGAAAUUAGUACUGUGUGAAUGCAAGAACUAUGGUUAUAAUGUGAUUAGUCAUGCUUAAUUUUGUUAGUUUUUUUGUUUUAUUUGAAGUCUACCAAUUCCGUAUUGCUAUUGGUUCUACAAAUGAUGGAUUUGUACCCAGCUUGAAUCAUUUAUGUGAAUCAUUUUGGUUAUAGUAGUCUUCUACUGUUGAUAUUGUAGGCAGUUGUGUACUCUAUGCUUGUAUCGUAAAUCUAUGUCUCUGGAGUAAAAUAAUUAGUAGUAGAGAUGAUCAAUAAGAUACCGUCUUGUUUUGGUUGUUACUGCAGAGAACAUAGGUUUUUGAAUAUGCAAAGUUUCUUGGGAACUCUCAGUUUUCUCUGCUUCAACUCCAGUCAUACAAACUUGUAUAUGCGCACAUGUUGGCCGAGGUUGGAAGGAUUUCGGAUUCAUUGAAAUACUGUCUAGCUGUUUACAAAUCUCUCAAAAUUGGACGAUCACCGGAAGAAGAUACAUUGAAACAGUUAUUAUCAUCUCUUGAAGAGAGGAUUAGGAUACACCAACAGGUUUUCCCUCAUGUUUCUCUAGUUAAGAAGUCCAGCGUGCUGUAUAAUGUUUUUAAACAUUUUUGUAUCUUUUCAGAGUGGAUAUGCAGCUAACUUGGCUCCAGGAAAGAUAGUGGUUAAAUUGCUCAACUUUUUUGAUAGUAUAGUUCAUCGCAUUGCUCAACUUUUUUGAUAGUACAGUUCAUCGCAUUGUUGAUAGUACUGGUUAAAUGUGUUUCCCAAGACUGUUGUGACUCACGAAUAAUCUGCCGUAGGUGAUUUUGAUCUACUUACCUCUUGAUUUGUUUGAGUUUUCAAUUAAAUAGCUAUCUCGACCUCUAUUUUGGUGUUUUAGUUCCAAAACUCUUUCAGAAUAGGCAUUUAUUUUUAUUUUGGCUCCUCCAAGUCUUAUUUUGUGUUUCCUCGUUUCAUGAACAAGUGAUCGGGCUGCUGAUGAGUCUCAGAGCAAUCAAGUGAAAAGAAAGAAGAUGCUGACCAAAUAAGUAAUGGUAUUGGGAGCGCUGCGGUGCAGGUUUUCCAGGGACAAUCCGAUGUUCUUCUCAGACAUGAAUUUAGUAAGCCAGUACAAGAGACGGAUUAUUUCUGAACCACAUAUACUUGCAAUUGCAUUUGUGUCGUUGCUUCAGGUUAAAAAUUGUUUGAAUGUAUGUUGGGUGAAAAGGAAGAAUAAUAAGAAGAAAAAGGCUAACACAAGCAAGCAAAAACAAAAAUACAGUAGGUGCCACAAGUUUGCCGGUUUUGCAAAGUGUGGCAGGCUUAUUGGCUAUAUGAACAUUGAGAUGAUUCCAUUAAAGUUUGUGAAGCAUUAGAGGAAAACUUGAUGAAUAUGGAAUGCAGAUUUGACAAUUAUAUGAAGUUGCUUGAGGAGGAAGGAUGCCAACACGCAUAAACUUAAGCUGAAUGUACCCAAGGAACCCUUAAUUGAGUUUGAUGACUAACUUGAAUCGUUGAUUGUAGUGGAAGUUGAACCAAGUGCGCAUAUUUCAAUUCUCCAUUAUAGAGUGGCUAAUGGCUAAAGAUAUGUCCUGUCAUGAAUUAUUUGUUUUUGUAGAAGGUUUUUAUUGUGACACAAGUUGUAGAAGAUUUUGAUGAAAUAUUUAUUUAUUUAAUUGUUUGUUAAUAAAAAUAUUUUGUCAUUUUUGUGUGUAGUUCAUUAUUGGAGCGUAAUAAUAGUGGUUAGUGCGCAGACAGAGAUGCAGGGUAUUGUUUUUUUUAAAAAAUAAAAAUAUUGCAAAGAGACCUGUUAUCUUACCUAGUGGGUCUCCAUAAAACGAACAAAGAGACCUGUUAUCUUACCUAGUGGGUCUCUGUGAAACAAACAAAGAGACCUCAUAUCUUAGGUAUGGGAUCUUUUCCCUUUCUGAAUUAAUUUUUCCAUGCCUUACAUAAGAGACCC
Spinacia oleracea (spinach) is the source of this 2375-nucleotide long non-coding RNA. RefSeq lists it as uncharacterized. The record is from RefSeq and is a predicted model, not a curated record. Lineage: Eukaryota; Viridiplantae; Streptophyta; Magnoliopsida; Caryophyllales; Amaranthaceae. The transcript is spliced from 3 exons.